AUGUCAAAGUCUCAACCUGAUGCUACCCUCCCUCAUUCUCCUAAAGUGCCCAACUCUUCAUGCAAAGCUUCUACAUCUGGUGAUGCUAAAGGUACCAGUGAUGCUGAAUAUGUGGAGAUAGCACAUGCUACAGGAGUAAAAAUUCUUAAACAUCAGUGGGCUGCUGCUCUUCAGGCCAAAACACCCACUUCAAUGGUGCGUGUUCUUCUGAUGGCUGCCUUCCCACUGGAGGUUUUGAUCCAGAGCAAUUUAAAAGGACACAGCAAAACAGACAUCGGCGCAGAGCGAAGAACUGCCCUUGAUAAAGAAACCAUGACAGCCAUAUAUAGUAAGUGAAGACUGUGUAUGUAAAAUUGCAUACUGCACAAGUAACUCACUUUGCAACAAUAAAAAUUGCACAAAGAGGUGAUGAUGCAUUGAAGUAGUGUGACUCAGACGAAGAAGGUCAACAGAUUGAAUGCUGGAGAGUAAGGAUAGAUGACCAAAAGGGGUGUUAGUAUUACUGUAAUGUGAACUGGAUAGAAUUUCCAUCGGGGGGAAAAAAAAGGUAAAAUUAUGUGUAAAAUAUAUCUGUAUCUCUAUAAACGGAAAUAUCUGUUUCCU
Oreochromis aureus is the source of this 603-nucleotide long non-coding RNA. The record is from Ensembl. NCBI's taxonomy places the organism in Eukaryota, Metazoa, Chordata, Actinopteri, Cichliformes, Cichlidae.